Molecule: long non-coding RNA, 334 nt
Organism: Solanum verrucosum
Lineage: Eukaryota; Viridiplantae; Streptophyta; Magnoliopsida; Solanales; Solanaceae
Exons: 4
Source: RefSeq, a predicted model, not a curated record
AAAGUAAAUGCUGGAACUGAGCCUGGUGCAGACCUCGGACCAGUAAUUAGCAAACACGUCAAGGAACGGAUAUCCAAGUAAAUCCAAGCAAUUGUUGAUAGUGGAGCCAAACUAGUUCUUGAUGGGAGACAAGUUGCGGUACCAAAGCUGCUUUCUUCUCUCUUAAACAUUUGUGGAUGACAACUAGGUUUCCAAAUAUGAGUUGGGCAACUUCAUUGGUCCCACAAUAUUAUCUGAUAUCAAAGAAGACAUUGAAUGUUCCAAGGAGGAACUACUAGGUCCUGUUCUUCUUUGUAUGCAGGUUUGUCCUAUGUUUCUAAGGUUCCUGUUCUUU